GACAGAGGGUGCAACCGUUGCUCGGAAUUACUGGGCGUAAAGGGCUCGUAGGCGGCCAACUAAGUCAGACGUGAAAUCCCCAGGCUCAACCUGGGAACUGCGUCUGAUACUGGAUGGCUUGAAUUCGGGAGAGGGAUGCAGAAUUCCAGGUGUAGCGGUGAAAUGCGUAGAUAUCUGGAGGAAUACCGGUGGCGAAGGCGGCAUCCUGGACCGACAUUGACGCUGAUGAGCGAAAGCUAGGGGAGCAAACGGG
This 253-nucleotide ribosomal RNA is filed under the name uncultured bacterium. Its description in RNAcentral is "partial 16S ribosomal RNA". It matches the Rfam family "Bacterial small subunit ribosomal RNA", at positions 524 to 776 of the family's 1533-position model. The record is from RNAcentral.